RNAcentral lists this non-coding RNA (29 nucleotides) under Rattus norvegicus (Norway rat). The record is from RNAcentral. Lineage: Eukaryota; Metazoa; Chordata; Mammalia; Rodentia; Muridae.
UAGAAAGAGGUUUGCUCGUUGGCCCUGAC